UCCGCCUCGAGCGUGUGCCGGGUAGGGGACACCCUCCACAGUUGGCAACCGUUGGCUGGUUGUGAACCGUUCAUAACGGGCGUUCGUAACCACGCCCUGUUAGACUGAACGUGGUCCACCCGCGAAGCCUCAGAUGGCCAAGUGCUGGAGUCCUGGCUGCGGCUUCUGAGCCAGGCCUUGGCAGGCAGCUGCUGACAUGCCAGAGCCCUAUGAAGUAUUGAAGGCACCUGGGGUUCAGGCCCCCUGGAAGCCCAGCCCUCCCUCACCCUUCGGGGACACUGGAACUGGCCAAAUGAGGAUGGCUGCUGGAGGAGGAACAGGAAGCCAAAAUGGGCAGUGACUUGUCUGAGGCCUUGCCAGCUUGAAGAAGGAAAUGUCUGCUGAACCCGUCAGUGGCCCUGGUAAGGCCUGGUGCAUUGCAAAUCACUGGAUGAAAAUGGUGACUGACCAGGUACAGUGACUCAUGCCUGUAAUCCCAGCACUGGGAGGCCAAGGCAGCUAAAUAAGUUGAGGUCAGGAGUUUGAAACCAGCCUGGCCAACAUGGUGAAACCCUGUCUCUCCCCAAAAAUACAAAAAUUAGCCAGGCAGGGUGGCAUGCACCUAUAGUCCCAGCACCUCAGGAGGCUGAGGCAGUAGAAUUGCUUGAACCCAGGAAGCAAAGGUUGCAGGGAGCCGAGAUCCACUCCACUGGGUAACAGAGCAAGAGUGUCUCAAAAAAAGGAAAAACAACGCCAAAUGUCCA
Molecule: long non-coding RNA, 743 nt
Filed under: Saimiri boliviensis boliviensis (Bolivian squirrel monkey)
Lineage: Eukaryota; Metazoa; Chordata; Mammalia; Primates; Cebidae
Description: lncRNA (ENSSBOG00000036633.1)
Source: RNAcentral